AUGUGUCGAUAGCCGGAACAGACUCUCUUUGAGUUAGCAAGGUGCUCUGCCUGGUCUCGUGAACAAGAGAAGCUCGCGAAUCGUUGGUCGAUUGCCGGAGCAUUUCUCUUCGAGUUGGCAGAGUGGUCUUCUUCCGGUUCGCUCGUCGAAGGAAGGUUUAUUUAUUUGAUUUUCAUUCACUAUAAUUGUAAUUUGAGAAACAUCUUUUUAGUGGAACUGUUAAUCACUGUUUAUAGUGAUUAACGACUGGACGUAAAUUCUUCUGAAUCGAACCAGUAUAAACUCCCUGCACUUGUUACUUUUGCCUGCACUCAAACUGUUCGAUUAAUUUUCUGAAAGAAAAUUAUUUUGCGAAAAAGGACCAACUUCGUUUUAAAAGUGACCGAACACGCUUAUACGCUACUCUUAGUUUUAAUUCCGCUGCGUUAUACUCUUCGAACCAUACCCCACUAGUACCAACAAUUAUUUGUCUGCCAUUACAUUGUAUUUCA
This 491-nucleotide long non-coding RNA is filed under the name Vigna radiata. Its description in RNAcentral is "long non-coding RNA (VRAD_LNC006057)". Lineage: Eukaryota; Viridiplantae; Streptophyta; Magnoliopsida; Fabales; Fabaceae. The record is from RNAcentral.